This 338-nucleotide unclassified non-coding RNA is filed under the name soil metagenome. RNAcentral's name for it is "partial contains 5.8S ribosomal RNA, internal transcribed spacer 2, and large subunit ribosomal RNA". The stretch from base 1 to 120 matches the Rfam family "5.8S ribosomal RNA", at positions 35 to 154 of the family's 154-position model. The record is from RNAcentral.
GAUGAAGAACGCAGCGAAAUGCGAUACGUAGUGUGAAUUGCAGAAUUCAGUGAAUCAUCGAAUCUUUGAACGCACAUUGCACCUCUCGGUAUUCCGGGAGGUAUGCCUGUUCGAGCGUCAUUUGUACCCUCAAGCUCUGCUUGGUGUUGGGUGUUUGUUCCGCCUCUGUGUGUGAACUCGCCUCAAAACAAUUGGCAGCCGGCGUACUUGUUUCGGAGCGCAGCACAUUUUGCGAUCCAGAUCAACGUACAGCGGCAUCCAAGAAGCCUUAUUUAACGCUCUUGACCUCCGAUCAGGUAGGGAUACCCGCUGAACUUAAGCAUAUCAAUAACGGAGGA